This 376-nucleotide ribosomal RNA is filed under the name uncultured bacterium. RNAcentral describes it as "bacterial SSU rRNA". It matches the Rfam family "Bacterial small subunit ribosomal RNA", at positions 521 to 896 of the family's 1533-position model. The record is from RNAcentral.
UAAUACGAAGGGGGCUAGCGUUGUUCGGAGUUACUGGGCGUAAAGGGCGCGUAGGCGGCCGAUUUAGUCAGGUGUGAAAGCCCAGGGCUCAACUCUGGAAUUGCACUUGAUACUGGUUGGCUUGAGUACGGGAGAGGAUAGUGGAAUUCCCAGUGUAGAGGUGAAAUUCGUAGAUAUUGGGAAGAACACCAGUGGCGAAGGCGGCUAUCUGGACCGUAACUGACGCUGAGGCGCGAAAGCGUGGGGAGCAAACAGGAUUAGAUACCCUGGUAGUCCACGCCGUAAACGAUGAGUGCUAGACGUCGGGGCUCUUAGAGCUUCGGUGUCGCAGCUAACGCAUUAAGCACUCCGCCUGGGGAGUACGGCCGCAAGGUUA